CACGGAGUUAGCCGAUCCUUAUUCCUUCGGUACAUUCAGCUUAUUACACGUAAUAAGGUUUAUUCCCGAAUAAAAGCAGUUUACGACCCAGAGGGCUGUCUUCCUGCACGCGGCAUGGCUGGUUCAGAGUUGCCUCCAUUGACCAAUAUUCCUUACUGCUGCCUCCCGUAGGAGUCUGGUCCGUGUCUCAGUACCAGUGUGGGGGGUCAUCCUCUCAGAUCCCCUAGUCAUCGUCGCCUUGGUGGGCCGUUACCCCGCCAACUAGCUAAUGACACGCAUGCCCAUCUUAAAUCCUAUAAAUAUUUGAACAUUGGAUAAUGCUAUCCUGUGUUUUAUGCGGUGUUAAUCCGAAUUUCUUCGGGCUAUCCCCUGACUUAAGGUAGUUGCAUACGCGUUACGCACCCGUGCGCCACUUUUCCCAAUGAGCAAAGCCCAGUUGGUAUCGUUCGACUUGCAUGUAUUAGGCCUGCCGCUAGCGUCACUCUGAGCAGGA
RNAcentral lists this ribosomal RNA (493 nucleotides) under uncultured Pedobacter sp. RNAcentral describes it as "partial 16S ribosomal RNA". Lineage: Bacteria; Pseudomonadati; Bacteroidota; Sphingobacteriia; Sphingobacteriales; Sphingobacteriaceae. The record is from RNAcentral.